This is a non-coding RNA of Pelobates cultripes (western spadefoot toad), 232 nucleotides long. The record is from the annotation of a GenBank genome assembly. Lineage: Eukaryota; Metazoa; Chordata; Amphibia; Anura; Pelobatidae.
AUUCGUAAACAGCAGCCUAUUUUUUUUCUAGGUAGAAAUAUCCCAGAGAAAUAUGUUGUGUUUGCAAAUGUAGUGGAUGGCAUUGGGCUGUCCUCAAAGUUUUCUUUAAAAAUUUAUUUCGUGUGAUUAUUCCCCUGUAUAUAUUUAUUGUAUGUAGCAUUCGUCUGAUUGUUCUGUAGUUUUCAGUCCGUGUUCCAUACAAAUGAAAACUACCGAACCAUCAGACCACCCC